This 333-nucleotide ribosomal RNA is filed under the name uncultured Streptococcus sp. Its description in RNAcentral is "bacterial SSU rRNA". It matches the Rfam family "Bacterial small subunit ribosomal RNA", at positions 1044 to 1382 of the family's 1533-position model. Lineage: Bacteria; Bacillati; Bacillota; Bacilli; Lactobacillales; Streptococcaceae. The record is from RNAcentral.
GAUGGUUGUCGUCAGCUCGUGUCGUGAGAUGUUGGUUAAGUCCGCAACGAGCGCAACCCUAUGUUAGUUGCCAUCAUUUAGUUGGGCACUCUAGCGAGACUGCCGGUAAUAAACCGGAGGAAGGUGGGGAUGACGUCAAAUCAUCAUGCCCCUUAUGACCUGGGCUACACACGUGCUACAAUGGUUGGUACAACGAGUUGCGAGUCGGUGACGGCGAGCUAAUCUCUUAAAGCCAAUCUCAGUUCGGAUUGUAGGCUGCAACUCGCCUACAUGAAGUCGGAAUCGCUAGUAAUCGCGGAUCAGCACGCCGCGGUGAAUACGUUCCCGGGCCUU